UACAGAGGGGGCAAGCGUUGUUCGGAAUUACUGGGCGUAAAGGGCGCGUAGGCGGCCUGCUAAGUCGAACGUGAAAUCCCCGGGCUCAACCUGGGAACUGCAUCCGAGACUGCAUUGCUAGAGUAUGGGAGAGGAAAGCGGAAUUUCUGGUGUAGCAGUGAAAUGCGUAGAUAUCAGAAGGAACACCGGUGGCGAAGGCGGGUCUCUGGGCCGAUACUGACGCUGAGGAGCGAAAGCGUGGGGAGCGAACAGG
This 253-nucleotide ribosomal RNA is filed under the name uncultured bacterium. RNAcentral describes it as "partial 16S ribosomal RNA". It matches the Rfam family "Bacterial small subunit ribosomal RNA", at positions 524 to 776 of the family's 1533-position model. The record is from RNAcentral.